CUACGGGAGGCAGCAGUGAGGAAUAUUGCACAAUGGGGGGAACCCUGAUGCAGCAACGCCGCGUGGAGGAUGACGCAUUUCGGUGUGUAAACUCCUUUUAUAUGUCAAGAAAAUGACGGUAGCAUAUGAAUAAGCACCGGCUAACUCCGUGCCAGCAGCCGCGGUAAUACGGAGGGUGCGAGCGUUACUCGGAAUCACUGGGCGUAAAGGACGCGUAGGCGGGUUGGAAAGUCAGGUGUGAAAUCCUACAGCUUAACUGUAGAACUGCACUUGAAACUUCUAAUCUAGAGUAUGGGAGGGGAGAUGGAAUUAGUGGUGUAGGGGUAAAAUCCGUAGAUAUCACUAGGAAUACCUAAAGCGAAGGCGAUCUCCUGGAACAUUACUGACGCUAAGGCGUGAAAGCGUGGGGAGCAAACAGGAUUAGAUACCCGGGUAGUC
This 438-nucleotide ribosomal RNA is filed under the name uncultured bacterium. RNAcentral describes it as "partial 16S ribosomal RNA". It matches the Rfam family "Bacterial small subunit ribosomal RNA", at positions 339 to 795 of the family's 1533-position model. The record is from RNAcentral.